GGGAAGAUCCCCUGCGGCGCAAGACUCUGAACCUCGUCAGGUCCGGGAGGAAGCAGCGAUAAGGGGUAAUUUGCGGGUGCCAGGGGUCAAUCUUCCCUCA
RNAcentral lists this signal recognition particle RNA (100 nucleotides) under Desulfurispirillum indicum S5. RNAcentral describes it as "Bacterial small signal recognition particle RNA". It matches the Rfam family "Bacterial small signal recognition particle RNA". Rfam says of the family: The signal recognition particle (SRP) is a universally conserved ribonucleoprotein involved in the co-translational targeting of proteins to membranes. Archaeal SRP consists of a 7S RNA and homologues of the eukaryotic SRP19 and SRP54 proteins. In most bacteria, the SRP consists of a 4.5S RNA and the Ffh protein (a homologue of the eukaryotic SRP54 protein). RNAcentral also lists the same sequence under 1 other name. Lineage: Bacteria; Pseudomonadati; Chrysiogenota; Chrysiogenia; Chrysiogenales; Chrysiogenaceae. The record is from Rfam by way of RNAcentral.